This 1115-nucleotide ribosomal RNA is filed under the name Acrochaetium luxurians. Its description in RNAcentral is "bacterial LSU rRNA". It matches the Rfam family "Bacterial large subunit ribosomal RNA", at positions 1333 to 2465 of the family's 2925-position model. Lineage: Eukaryota; Rhodophyta; Florideophyceae; Acrochaetiales; Acrochaetiaceae. The record is from RNAcentral.
UGCCCCGAAAACCUAAGGAUUCCUCUGGAAGGUUCGUCCACGGAGGGUGAGUCAGGGCCUAAGGCGAGGCUGAAAAGCGUAGUCGAUGGAUAACAGGUUAAUAUUCCUGUACUGUUUGUAGUUGAUAACGAAGGACGAAGAAGGCUAAGUCAUCCGGACGUUGGUUACCGGUUUAAACUUUCAAUACGAUGAAGAAUGGAGAAAACAUUCUGAGUAAAGAAGUGAAUACAAAAUACUAAGGUAUUAAAGUGAUUGACGUCAUACUUCCUAGAAAAGUUCGAUCUAUCUUAAAUUAUAAAUACCUGUACCCGAAACCGACACAGGUAGGUAGGUAGAGUAUACCAAGGGGCGCGAGAUAACUCUCUCUAAGGAACUCGGCAAAAUGGCCCCGUAACUUCGGAAGAAGGGGUACCCUUUUAGGGUUGCAAUAACCAGGCCCAAGCGACUGUUUAUCAAAAACACAGGUCUCCGCUAAGUCGUAAGACAAUGUAUGGGGGCUGACGCCUGCCCAGUGCCGGAAGGUUAAAGAAGUUGGUUAAUAUUUUUAUGAAGCUGACAACUGAAGCCCCGGUGAACGGCGGCCGUAACAAUAACGGUCCUAAGGUAGCGAAAUUCCUUGUCGGGUAAGUUCCGACCCGCACGAAAGGCGUAACGAUUUGGGUACUGUCUCAGAGAGAGACUCGGCGAAAUAGACUUGUCUGUGAAGAUGCGGACUACCUGCACCUGGACAGAAAGACCCUAUGAAGCUUUACUGUAACUUGGAAUUGAGUUUGGGCUUUUCUUGCGCAGUAUAGGUGGGAGGCUAAGAAAAUAAGUUUGCGGAUUUAUUAGAGCCAUCAGUGAGAUACCACUCUAGGAAAGCUAAAAUUCUAACCUUGAAAGCCGUUAACCGGCCAAGGAACAGUUUCAGGCGGGCAGUUUGACUGGGGCGGUCGCCUCCUAAAAAGUAACGGAGGCGUGCAAAGGUUCCCUCAGGCUGGUUGGAAAUCAGUCGUAGAGUGUAAAGGCAUAAGGGAGCUUGACUGCAAGACCUACAAGUCGAGCAGAGACGAAAGUCGGCCUUAGUGAUCCGACAGUACCGAGUGGAAGGGCUGUCGCUCAACGGAUAAAAGUUA